UACGUAGGGUGCAAGCGUUAAUCGGAAUUACUGGGCGUAAAGCGUGCGCAGGCGGUUAUGCAAGACAGAGGUGAAAGCCCCGGGCUCAACCUGGGAAUGGCGAUGGUGACUGCAAGGCUAGAGUUUGGCAGAGGGGGGUAGAAUUCCACGUGUAGCAGUGAAAUGCGUAGAGAUGUGGAGGAACACCGAUGGCGAAGGCAGCCCCCUGGGUCAAGACUGACGCUCAUGCACGAAAGCGUGGGGAGCAAACAGG
This 253-nucleotide ribosomal RNA is filed under the name uncultured bacterium. RNAcentral describes it as "partial 16S ribosomal RNA". It matches the Rfam family "Bacterial small subunit ribosomal RNA", at positions 524 to 776 of the family's 1533-position model. The record is from RNAcentral.